CUGAGACUGACUCUCAGGCUGAAAUGAAGGCAGACCACGUGAAUUGCAAAGAGGACUGCAAUAUCAAAAGUACAUCUGAUAAUGCAGCACAUGCACACUAUGGAAAUGAGAAUGGGGAGAAGAGACUGCUCAGAGUGGAGGGAAAUCAGGAGAAUUCUGCACUGGAAACGAAAGGAAUAGAUGAAGCAAAAAAGACAAAACCAGAAGAUCUAACAGCAAGGGAAGAUACUAGAAUUUUUUAUGAAAACAUAAUGGCAAUUCAGCAUCAAAAUCCUGAGGUUAAUGGGGAAUUCAAACAGACUGGGUCAGGAGGAAGUGAGAUGAAUGAGGAGGAGGAAUGUCCUCCAAUGCCUUGGGAAAGCAGGGUGUUGAGCAUGGAGGAUGGCAACCAGGAGUGUCCUUGGAGUGGGGAAGGAGGUGUUUCUGAAGACUGCAAACCAGUCCAGGAGGAAAUAGCAAAAGCAACCAGAAAGGAUCAUCCUGUGAGUUCUGACCCUGAGUCUGGUGAUUUGUGUGCCAACGAGGAAGAAAAGAACACAGCAAAUACAGAGUGUGGUGCCAGAGGAGCACCGGAUGGAAGGUUCCCGGCAGGAGGGAGGAGACGCCUGGAUGUGCAGGAGGCAGCAGGACAGGCGGUGCGAGCAGGGGAGGUGACAGAGCCGGGACAAGCCCUGGAGCAGGACGGGGCUGCUGAGGGAGAAGCUGGCAGCGGAAAGGCUGCAGGAAAAGCUGCUGAGGGAGAUGCUGGCAGCGGUGCGGCCGCAAGAAAAGCUGCAGGGGCGGGGGCUGCACUGUCCCAGGCAGGCACGGGGGAUGCUCUGGCCCAGGCAGGCACGGGGGAUGCUCUGUCCCAGGCAGGCACGGGGGAUGCACUGCCCCAGGCAGGCACGGGGGAUGCGCUGGAGGAAUCCGCACCUGAGGAGGGCACUGUGGCAUGGGAACAGCCCAAAGAAAAGGGGACAGGGGAGGCAGAGGAGCUGGGCACAGAGGGGUCACCUGGGGAGCAGGAGGUGCUGGUGGAGGGGAUGGACAGAGAGGUGGCACUGCGAAAGGCAGCAGCUGGGGCACUGCCAGGAUGGGAGGCAGACAGAGCCGUGCCCCAGGGGCAGGACGGGGCUGGGGGCACCAGUGAGGAGGAGGCUGCAGAAGAAGGCCUCGAAGGAGCAGUAGGGCUGGCAGCAGAGGAGGAGGUGGGUGAGCCAGGGUCAGAGGCAGGGGAGUCCCUGGGGCAGGGAGGGUCUGCAGGGAAGGACACGGUGGUGGGUGCUGUGUCAGAGGGAGAGGAGCCUGUGGAGGAUGCUGAUGCGGCAGCAGAUGGGAAUGCCAGAGCCGCGGGCCCUGAAGGAAAAAAGGCUGUUAAAGAAGACUUUUCUGAAGGGGAGGAGGCUAUGAGUAAGCCUGGGGUUCUCUGGGAAGCACUAGGGGAUAUGGAAACAGGAGAAGCAAUGCCUGGAGGAGAAGGGUUUGUGAAGCCAAGUCAGUUUUCCCAGCUGAAAGAGUCAGAGGAAGAGUGGAUGGAGAUGGGGAAAGCUGUCCCAGGAGCUGCAGCAGCACUUGAGAGUGCUCAGACUCUCCAGAGAGUGGAGGACACGAUGGAAGAGUCUGUGGAGCCUGACAAGGGUCCUGUACUGGAAGUGGCACCUGGGUUAGGGGCACUGGGGGCUGCUCGGGGGGAUCCUGUCACUGAAGGGUCAUCACAGGUGGAGGAGACUCUGGCAGUGCAGGAGGAGGAGGAGGGUGCAGCAGAAGCACUUUGGAGUGGAAACCCAUCUGAGGGCAGCAAAGCAGAGACAGAGAGAGCAGUGGAAGGAAAACCCGAAGGAGAGGCGGUGGGAGGGUCUGCAGGGGCGGCCGGAGCGGGCUCGGGGGAGGAAGAGGAGACCACAGCU
Molecule: long non-coding RNA, 1889 nt
Organism: Serinus canaria (Common canary)
Lineage: Eukaryota; Metazoa; Chordata; Aves; Passeriformes; Fringillidae
Source: Ensembl